Loxodonta africana (African savanna elephant) is the source of this 3222-nucleotide long non-coding RNA. RefSeq lists it as uncharacterized. The record is from RefSeq and is a predicted model, not a curated record. NCBI's taxonomy places the organism in Eukaryota, Metazoa, Chordata, Mammalia, Proboscidea, Elephantidae. The transcript is spliced from 4 exons.
GGCCACUCCCCGCCUCGGCUUCCGGGGCGCGUUGCCGGGUGCUGCCGGCCUCUCGGACCCCUCAGCGUUGGACCCGUCCGACCCCCGGGCGGGGCAGAGCGGUGGAGCGUAUAUUAACAUACAGGGCGUGGCUUUACCGUCCCGCCUCCUCUGCGGGCUGCGCGGCGCCGACCGCUUUUAGGUCUGAGAUUUACUUCUCCUUGGCGUUCCCUGCGCAGAGGGUUUUCACCGCCUGGCCUUUCUUCCGUAUCUCUCACUGACUGAGCACCAGCGUAGUCUAGACCCUGUGGGCGUUGGAUCGGGCCAGGCCGGACCACAGUCUUCUCAAAGCAGACAAAGCUGGAAUGCCGAGUCCCGGGCUCAAGCCUGCUCUGCUCCGGAGCCCAGGAGAGCCCCCAUCCCACCUAUGAGGUCAAGACCUCCAGCUGCAGACCUGUGUGUCUCUCGGUCGUCCCUGCAAUCACCAGACAGGCACUGUGGGUCCUCGCCAGUCUCCUCCAGGGUACCCUCGGGUGACCCUAUGAGGAAGACACCAUGAUCGUCCUCAUUUUGCAGACAAGGAACAGGCACAGGAAGACAGUCGGACUGACAGACGGGUGCUACUGUCCCCGGAGGCAAUGCACGGACAAUUUCCGGUCCUACCAAGCAUUGGCACGUCAAGCCUUUCACAAGGCUGCUACUCCAUGAAUCUUGGAUAAUUUCACUUAGGGCUGAAGUCAACACCAACCAAACACCUUGGAUGUCCUUCACAUGGUCACUACAGGUUCACAGAUUUUCACACCGCCCUGGCAACGUUUUAUUUUCACAUUCACGCAGAUGUUCCAGAGUGUCGGUCCGGUAAACUGGUUUUCAAAGCCAGUAACCAUCCUUCACAAGAUCAAAAAGGUAAAAUCACCCACACAACUAGUGUUUUUCUUCAAUCGGUAGCUUAUAAACUUUUGAUAAGACUUGGAUUGUGGAUGGGCUUCAGUGUGGACCAGAGCAGCGUUUGCUCCUGUCUCUUCUUAUGGACACAGGGCACCGGGACAGCGUGGGUGGCAGGAGCUUCGACAUCACUGAACAGGGAAGAGGAGAUCUGCAGCAGGAAUGGGCCACAGCUGGAACACUCCCUCAGUGCCCAGCCUUCCCCUGCGCCCUGCCCCAGCCACCCAUCAGGAUACAGAUUUACAGGGGAACUUCCUAACACUGUGUUUGUUUCCAGGAGCUCAUUCACUACCCUCCUCUGCAUUCCAACUGCUGGUGUGUGAGCAGUUAGGCGGUGUGGUGGACGCACAGUCUGUGAUGGGGGCUUUGGGCUGCUGGUUGGCACUGUCCUCAUGUCAUGUCAUUGGUCAAUGUGCCCACUCUAAAAUGUGGCUUUGCUUCCUUCGUCCCAAACACCGUGUUGACACAUUCCAUACCCAAACCAAAACCACCAGAGACUCCACCAGCCUGAGACCAGAAGAACUAGAUGGUGUCCGGCUACCACCAAUGAUCGCCCUGACAGGGAACACAAUAGAGAGUCCUGGACAGAGCAGGAGAAAAGUUUGGAAAACUCAAAUUCACAUAAAAAGACCAGACUUAAUGGUCUGAGAGACACUGGAGGAACCCCCUGAAACUAUGGCUCCUGGAUGCUCGGUUAACCCAGAACUAAAACCAUUCCUGAAGCCCACUAUUCAGACAAAGAUUAGACUGGACUAUAAAACAAAAAAUAAUACUCAUGAGGAGUGUGCUGCUUAGUUCAAACAGAUACACGAGAUCAAAUGGGCAGCUCCUGUCAGGAGGCAGGAUGAAAAGGCAGGAAGGGACAUGAACUGGUUGAAUGGACACAGGGAACCAGGAGUGGAAAAGCGGAGUGUGUUGUCGCAUUGUGAGGAUUGCAACUAAUGUCACAAAACAAUAUGUGUAUACAUUUUUGUAUGAGAAAUUAACUGGAACUGUUAACUUUCACCUAAAGUACAAUUAAAAAAAAAAUUCCAACUCAUGGGAACCCCACGUGUGUCAGGGUAGAACAGCUCCAUGAGGUUUUCACAGGCUGGUUUUUGGGAAGUAGAUUGCCAGGCUUUUCUUCCGAGGCACCUCUGAGUGGGUUCCAACCACCAACCUUUCUGUUAGUAGCCCAGCACUUAACCAUUUGUGCUGCCUAGGGACUCCAAAUUCCAUUGGUCUGCUAAAACGAGUGAGUCUGCAUUUGUGUGACACAUUUCAUUUUUAGCAAUGACUCAUACAACCUCAGACCCAGCUUCUCAAGCACCUUGGACACUAAUAUAACCCGGAUUAUAAUUUUUUUUUUAAUUUAACACCAGCAGAUUAUUUUUAAAAACCCACAAGCUUUUCUAACAUAGAUGUUUGGGUGAGGGAGAUACCCUGAGGGUUGCUUGGCACCCGGCUUCACUUGGUGAAAUUUUGACACAAAGGGGCCAUUGAGGCAUUUAGGCCGAGGAGGAGAACUAUCCAGGUACACGGAUCCAAAUGUGACAUGGUUGCUAGACUGCUUAGUUAGUGGCAAUUUUUUUUUGGAGCCAAUAUUAGCCUGUGAAUUUGAUGACACUCUGGAUUUAAUAAAAGGAAUUUAUAUCUGGAACAGAAAAGGGACAUUGGUGGAAAAACUGGGGAAAUCUGACUAGUCUGUAGGUUAGUUUAGAACAGCAUUGUACCAGCGACCAUUCUCUUGGUUUUGAUCAUUGUACCACAGUUACGUAGGAUAGUGACAUGAGGGGAAGCUGGGUAAAGAGCAUACGGAACUCUCUGUUCCAUUUUUGCAACUCUUCUAUAAACUUAAAAUUACUUCAAAAUAAAAAAUUAAAUUUAUUAAAUACAAAAUAGAUGUUGUUUGUUGUCGAGUUGACUCUGACUCACAGUGACCCUACAGCACCGAGCAGAACGGCCCGAUAGGGUUGUCUAGGCUGUAACUUUUUUUUUUAUUAAACUCUGAAACACAUGGGGUCACCAUGAGCUGGAGAUGACUCAACGGCAACUGAUUUUAUUGAGCCAUAGUUCACAUAUAAAAUUCAACUCCCUCCCCCCCCUUUUUUUUUAUUGUGCUUUAGGUGAAAGCUUACAUACAGCUCAAGUUAAUUUCUGGACUGUUCUGAGGGGUGACAUCUGUAAGCCCUGCACAGUCUUCUGCCCCAUUUGACCUUGGGGCCCCUGGAAGCGCCUGAGGAAGAAAAAAUAGACUGGGAGCCCUGGAGUUGAUACAAGACAGUCUUUAAUGCACACAAACUUGGCGGUACAGGCAAG